AUGAAUUACUUGGUCAAGCUGUUGCUGGUCCUUUGGGAUAUGUGCACGCUUGCCAAUAACUUCAACCACCUGUGCACCUUUGUAGACUGAAAAACUUUUGUCGAGGCAACUCGGAUUGAGGACUGCUGCGCGCAAGCCGGCUGUCCUUGUGUUUCUCAGUCUAUGUUUUCAUAUACUCCAAUGUAUGUAAUAGAGUGUUUUAUUAGGCCUAUGUGCCUUUAAAUGAAAUA
RNAcentral lists this unclassified non-coding RNA (230 nucleotides) under uncultured Entolomataceae. Its description in RNAcentral is "sequence contains ITS1". The record is from RNAcentral. Lineage: Eukaryota; Fungi; Basidiomycota; Agaricomycetes; Agaricales; Entolomataceae.